RNAcentral lists this ribosomal RNA (440 nucleotides) under uncultured bacterium. RNAcentral describes it as "bacterial SSU rRNA". It matches the Rfam family "Bacterial small subunit ribosomal RNA", at positions 338 to 795 of the family's 1533-position model. The record is from RNAcentral.
CCUACGGGGGGCAGCAGCAAGGAAUUUUCGGCAAUGGGCGCAAGCCUGACCGAGCAACGCCGCGUGCGGGACGACGGCCUUCGGGUUGUAAACCGCUUUUUGGGGGGAUGAUUUGGACAGUACCCCCAGAAUCAGCCCCGGCUAACUCUGUGCCAGCAGCCGCGGUAAUACAGAGGGGGCAAGCGUUGUCCGGACUAACUGGGCGUAAAGCGCCCGCAGGUGGUGACGCAAGUGGUGUGUGAACCCUGGCGGCUUAACCGCCAGACGCCAUGCCAGACUGCGCCACUCGAGCCGUGCAGAGGUGGGUGGAAUUGCCGGUGUAGUGGUGAAAUGCGUAGAGAUCGGCAGGAACACCAAGGGGGAAGCCAGCCCACUGGGCACGUGCUGACACUGAGGGGCGACAGCGUGGGGAGCGAACCGGAUUAGAUACCCUUGUAGUC